Long non-coding RNA from Zingiber officinale, 1064 nucleotides. RefSeq lists it as uncharacterized. The transcript is spliced from 4 exons. NCBI's taxonomy places the organism in Eukaryota, Viridiplantae, Streptophyta, Magnoliopsida, Zingiberales, Zingiberaceae. The record is from RefSeq and is a predicted model, not a curated record.
GCCCGAGCCCUCACCUCCGGUCGUUUCUCUUCUCUUUCCCAAUGGGCGUGCCGACGCCGCCCUCACGUCGGUUCCUCUCCUCCCCUCGCGUACAAAACUGCCGACCAGAGGAGGCUUCGAGCCCUCCUUCCUCUUCCUCUCCUCUUCUCCCAGAUCCUCACCACCCGAUCUCCUUCGCCCUCUCCUUUCUUUCGGCACCGUCAUAGACCAUCAUCACCCUCUUCCUCGUGAUUUCUUCUCUCUACAUCGCCUUCGACCACCGCGGGCUGAUGCUAGGUCAUCGCCGCCCUGAUGUCGCCACCAGUGCCCUAGUUUUCAUCGGAGAGAGAGAGAGAGAGAGAGAGAGCUGCCGGUUGGAGAUGAUGCCCCUGACAAUGAUUCCUGGGUAGCGACAGUAGCAAUACCGCCCGGCUAGCAAUCUUCUGUAGCUGCUCACCCUGGCUGUGGGUACUUGGGGAUGACAACAGCCCUAGCUCCAACCAAAUUCUUUCGGCAGCAAAAGGUUCCUUUCCAUUUCCAAAACUUUUGCUGCUGGAUUUGAGCCUUGUCACCCUUGCUGACCACUACUGGAAACAGUAAGCUAUUACCAAAGAGGAAGGAAGCCGAGUUUGCUUCUCUGGAUUUCAGCAGUAAAUUCUUCAAGAUUAGAGCAGCGCUGAGGCAUCAAAAAAUUUGGGAUUUGGAUUCGGGACGAGCACAUCGACAUAGAGGUUGAUUAGCUCGAUCUACAUUGGAGGCGGGUACCUUGACCUAUCUAUUUUGAUAUGUCUUGUUGAUAUAUUUAGUAUAUCUUAACAAGUAGUAAUAAUUAUGUUUAUAUUUGCAUCAUCAUGUCACUAUUUGUUUCUAAGCAUGAUUUGUUUGUUACUUGUUUAGCGUUCAUGCCCUAUUUACUAUUUAUGUUAUAGAGGUAGUGACAUGUCAUGCUCUAUGAUAUACCGGACUAGUUAGAUACCAUACCUGAUCGGUGUACCUAGAUCAUAUUAUUUGAUCCACGUAUAUGGUACAUGUUUAUAUGGAGGUAGAUAGGAUCAGGAUAUUUCUAUGUUUAGUGUCAUGCACAA